UUCGCGGAAACUGAUUGCAGC
RNAcentral lists this non-coding RNA (21 nucleotides) under Caenorhabditis elegans. Lineage: Eukaryota; Metazoa; Nematoda; Chromadorea; Rhabditida; Rhabditidae. The record is from RNAcentral.